Molecule: ribosomal RNA, 497 nt
Filed under: uncultured bacterium
Lineage: Bacteria
Description: partial 16S ribosomal RNA
Rfam family: Bacterial small subunit ribosomal RNA
Source: RNAcentral
GAUGAACGCUGGCGGCGUGCCUAAUACAUGCAAGUCGAGCGAACGGACGAGAAGCUUGCUUCUCUGAUGUUAGCGGCGGACGGGUGAGUAACACGUGGAUAACCUACCUAUAAGACUGGGAUAACUUCGGGAAACCGGAGCUAAUACCGGAUGAUAUUUUGAACCGCAUGGUUCAAAAGUGAAAGACGGUCUUGCUGUCACUUAUAGAUGGAUCCGCGCUGCAUUAGCUAGUUGGUAAGGUAAUGGCUUACCAAGGCAACGAUGCAUAGCCGACCUGAGAGGGUGAUCGGCCACACUGGAACUGAGACACGGUCUAGACUCCUACGGGAGGCAGCAGUAGGGAAUCUUCCGCAAUGGGCGAAAGCCUGACGGAGCAACGCCGCGUGAGUGAUGAAGGUCUUCGGAUCGUAAAACUCUGUUAUUAGGGAAGAACAUAUGUGUAAGUAACUGUGCACAUCUUGACGGUACCUAAUCAGAAAGCCACGGCUAACUACGUG